GCUGGGGCUCAGUGGUAGAGCGCUUGCCCUGCAUAUGGGAGGCACUGGGUUCAAUUCUCAGCACCGCA
This 68-nucleotide transfer RNA is filed under the name Marmota monax (woodchuck). Its description in RNAcentral is "tRNA.Ala". The record is from RNAcentral. Lineage: Eukaryota; Metazoa; Chordata; Mammalia; Rodentia; Sciuridae.